AAGAUUAUAUUUUCUGAGACCAUUUCUAUAGUUUGUUACUAGAGAAGUUUCUCUGAAUGUGUAGAGCACUGGAAACCACAAGGAGAAGACUUAAUCUUCUCUCCUGAGCCUGAAGCCGGCUGUUGUUUCCCCUCCCUGCCACUUGCCAUUGAUGAUUGUUCUCUUCCUCUGGGAGGUUAUAUGCAAGACUGCU
Molecule: small nucleolar RNA, 193 nt
Filed under: Prolemur simus (greater bamboo lemur)
Lineage: Eukaryota; Metazoa; Chordata; Mammalia; Primates; Lemuridae
Description: Small nucleolar RNA U3 (ENSPSMG00000000413.1)
Rfam family: Small nucleolar RNA U3
About the family: Small nucleolar RNAs (snoRNAs) are involved in the processing and modification of rRNA in the nucleolus. There are two main classes of snoRNAs: the box C/D class, and the box H/ACA class.
Source: Rfam by way of RNAcentral